GCCAAUUGUGGCGGUUUACGGAAGGCGUGUGCGACUCAAAAUCGUGUUCCCAAAAGGAGUGUGGGUUCGACUCCCACCAUCGGCA
This 85-nucleotide transfer RNA is filed under the name Ureibacillus thermosphaericus. RNAcentral describes it as "tRNA-Leu". The record is from RNAcentral. RNAcentral also lists the same sequence under 1 other name. Lineage: Bacteria; Bacillati; Bacillota; Bacilli; Caryophanales; Caryophanaceae.